AUAAAAUAAUUAUAUUUUUGAAAAUUUAUUAUAAAUUUAUUUUACAUAUAAAUUUUAGUAUAUAAUUUUAAUUAUUUAAAUAAUAAUUAAUUUAAAUUUACAAUAAAGUAGUAAUUAAUAUUAAAAAUUUAAGAAAUUAAGAUUUAGUAAUAUAAAAAUUAAUAACUAAUUUUGUGCCAGCAGUUGCGGUUAAACAAAAGUUAAAUUAAAUUAUUUCAGUUUAUAAUAAAUAAAAUAUUUUAUUAAAAUAAAUAUUAAAUUAUUAAGUGAAAUUUUAAUUUAAUUAAAUUUUAUAUAAUUAUUAUGAUUUAAUAAAUUUUAAUAUAAACUAGGAUUAGAUACCCUAUUAUUAAAAAUUUAAUUUAUAAUACUAAAAUAGUAAAUAAUAAUUUAUUGAAACUUAAAUAAUAUGGCGGUAUUUUAGUUCAUUUAGAGGAAUCUGUCUAAUAAUUGAUAAUCCACGAAUAAAUUUACUUAAUUUAUAAUUUUGUAUAUCAUUGUUAAAAAAAUAUUUUUUAGUAAAAAUAAUAUUUAAAUUUUAUUAAAAAAGUUAAAUCAGAUCAAGAUGCAGAAUAUAAUUAAGAAUAUGAUGGAUUACAUUAAAUAUAUUUAAAUGAAUAAUUUUAUUGUAAUAUAAAUUUGAAGGUGGAUUUAAAUGUAAUUUUAAUUAAUUUAUUAAAAUGAUUAAUAAUUAAAAUAUGUACAUAUUGCCCGUCACUUUCAUUUAAAAGUUGAAAUAAGUCGUAACAAAGUAGAGGUACUGGAAAGUGUUUCUAGAAAGA
RNAcentral lists this non-coding RNA (782 nucleotides) under Precis antilope (darker commodore). Lineage: Eukaryota; Metazoa; Arthropoda; Insecta; Lepidoptera; Nymphalidae. The record is from RNAcentral. RNAcentral also lists the same sequence under 2 other names.